AAGGAAAAAGAAGUUACCAAGAAUCCUAUCUAAAUGUGUGUUUCUCUACUUUUUAAGGUUUAUUUGCGUAUUGGGAAUGGGAUGAAUUUAAAAUGGUAAUUGAAGAGGAAGAGGCUUUUGACUUAUGACAGAACUACUCAUUAUUUUUUUUAAACCACAUUUCUCAGCCUUGGCUCCUCCAGCUCCCUCUGACUUCAAAAGAAGCUCUGAAUGAAGAGGGAGGGCACACAAUAGAAGAAUUGGCCUGA
RNAcentral lists this long non-coding RNA (248 nucleotides) under Canis lupus familiaris (dog). RNAcentral's name for it is "lncRNA (ENSCAFG00030010766.1, ENSCAFG00040015783.1)". The record is from RNAcentral. Lineage: Eukaryota; Metazoa; Chordata; Mammalia; Carnivora; Canidae.